Homarus americanus (American lobster) is the source of this 1085-nucleotide long non-coding RNA. RefSeq lists it as uncharacterized. The transcript has 2 exons. NCBI's taxonomy places the organism in Eukaryota, Metazoa, Arthropoda, Malacostraca, Decapoda, Nephropidae. The record is from RefSeq and is a predicted model, not a curated record.
UCCACUUCCUGUUAAAAUAACUUAUUUAUAUAUACAGAAUAAAAUAACCAGGUGAUCAUCGCGUAUAUAGUAAUAUGUUGCGUCGCUGCUCCCUCCCAGAUAUUAUAUUAAACACUAAAGCAACUGUAUUUUGUAUUAGCAUUAGACAGUAUCCAUUUUCUCUACAAUUAAAGUUAAUACAUCAUUCUUCUGCACCUGUAUACCUCCGCCUGUCAAAAACUCCCGUCUGUAAUACACCGCGUAGAAUUCAAGUAUACAACAACUUUUCCCAGAGUGCCGGCAGCGCCUACCUGACAGUGGAGAGUGAUCGUAUCAGUGGCAGUGUAGCUAGUGGUAGACAGGGGGUGGUUGCGAAGAUGUUAUGGUGUAUCUUCAGUGGAAUUUAUAAGUUGAAAGUUUGAGGAGAGAAAGUGAUCAGUGGUGAGAGACAAAAAAUUUCCUGAGAACCAAUACGGAAAUAAUAACAAGUGUGGAAGAAACUGGUUAUACUCGUGAGCCGCGACGGAACAAGUUGUUGGCUAGCUCACAGCUGGCGACGCCACGGUGGCUCAGGUAACUCCACACGCCAGGGAGGACGCGCCCACGCCUUGCCCAAACGACCCACGCCUCGCCCAAAUGAUCCACGCCUCACCUACACGGCCAGCUGUCUGACCCUACAGCAUCCACAGCCCUCCCUGCGCCCUUUACACCCCCGUCCCACGAAGCCAACACCCUACCUGUGCAACCCAAACCCAUCCCACACAACCCACAACCCGCUUACACAGCCCAUACAACCCACACCUUGCCCAUUCAUCCUACACUUUACCCAAGCUCACAAAACAUCCUUGACGGAUAGGGGUGAGCAUCCCCUCCUCAAGUCUUACAACCUUGUAAACAAAACAUCCCCAGCAGGACCUGAGGAUGUAGAGCACCUGGGGCUGAGGCGAGGGAUGUGGAGGGGUAUGUGUGGCGAGUAUUGGUGAUGGUGGUGGCGAGUAUCGUUGGUGAUGGUGGUGGUGCUGGCCAGCUGUGGCGACUACGCCUCCGUCUGGGACUCCGCCUCGCUCUCUUCGGGGGCGUCUUAUGCUGAGAUCGUCGACUCCCAG